This 74-nucleotide transfer RNA is filed under the name Lycocerus asperipennis. RNAcentral's name for it is "tRNA-Gln". Lineage: Eukaryota; Metazoa; Arthropoda; Insecta; Coleoptera; Cantharidae. The record is from RNAcentral.
UUAUGAUUUAGUAUAAGAUGUACAAAAAUUUUUGAAAUUUUUAGCAGUAGUUUAAUUCUAUUAAUCAUAAAAUU